GGGGCCCGCACAAGCGGUGGAGCAUGUGGUUUAAUUCGACGCAACGCGAAGAACCUUACCAGGGCUCGACAUCCCCUGACCGCGUAUGAAAGUACGUUUUCACCUCGGGUGACAGGGAGACAGGUGGUGCAUGGUUGUCGUCAGCUCGUGUCGUGAGAUGUUGGGUUAAGUCCCGCAACGAGCGCAACCCCUACGUUUAGUUGCUAACGCGUGAAGGCGAGCACUCUAGACGAACUGCCGUUGACAAACGGAGGAAGUGGGGAUGACGUCAAAUCAUCAUGCCCCUUAUGUUCUGGGCUACACACGUGCUACAAUGGCCGGUACAGACGGACGCAAAGCCGCGAGGUGGAGCAAAUCCUAAAAAGCCGGUCUCAGUUCGGAUUGCAGGCUGCAAUUCGCCUGCAUGAAGUCGGAAUCGCUAGUAAUCGCAGGUCAGCAUACUGCGGUGAAUACGUUCCCGGGCCUU
Molecule: ribosomal RNA, 466 nt
Filed under: uncultured Pelotomaculum sp.
Lineage: Bacteria; Bacillati; Bacillota; Clostridia; Eubacteriales; Desulfotomaculaceae
Description: bacterial SSU rRNA
Rfam family: Bacterial small subunit ribosomal RNA
Source: RNAcentral